This 411-nucleotide unclassified non-coding RNA is filed under the name fungal sp. RNAcentral's name for it is "partial internal transcribed spacer region". The stretch from base 1 to 46 matches the Rfam family "Eukaryotic small subunit ribosomal RNA", at positions 1786 to 1831 of the family's 1831-position model. Lineage: Eukaryota; Fungi. The record is from RNAcentral.
AAGUCGUAACAAGGUUUCCGUAGGUGAACCUGCGGAAGGAUCAUUCACACUAACAUAUCGACAGUAUGUACACUAUAUGUAAUAUAUAUGUAUAUGUGCAUACUGCCAUACAAAACAACCCACAAACCCCUGAACAAACUCUUUUUUAUGUGUGCCCUUGCUUGCGAAAUCUUUGUCGAGCAACGGGAAGGCCGGCACAUCUAUGUGCUGGGGCCAUAUAUUUAUUUUUACUAUUUGCCUUUAUACUUAUUUCAUAUUAACGGCUGUAUGGAUGCCAAGCUCGUAUACGAUAUAUCAUACAUAAUGAUUGUUGUGUGCUUGUAGCAGAGGUAUUUACUAUACGGUAUCGUGAUAUUGGAAUGAUAUAAAAAUAUUACAAUACAACUCUUUGCAAUGGAUAUCUUGGUUCUC